RNAcentral lists this ribosomal RNA (502 nucleotides) under uncultured bacterium. RNAcentral's name for it is "partial 16S ribosomal RNA". It matches the Rfam family "Bacterial small subunit ribosomal RNA", at positions 30 to 523 of the family's 1533-position model. The record is from RNAcentral.
AUUGAACGCUGGCGGCAGGCUCAACACAUGCAAGUCGAGCGGGGUGAUGGUGCUUGCACUAUCACUUAGCGGCGGACGGGUGAGUAAUGCUUAGGAAUCUGCCUAUUAGUGGGGGACAACAUCUCGAAAGGGAUGCUAAUACCGCAUACGUCCUACGGGAGAAAGCAGGGGAUCACUUGUGACCUUGCGCUAAUAGAUGAGCCUAAGUCGGAUUAGCUAGUUGGUGGGGUAAGGCCUACCAAGGCGACGAUCUGUAGCGGGUCUGAGAGGAUGAUCCGCCACACUGGGACUGAGACACGGCCCAGACUCCUACGGGAGGCAGCAGUGGGGAAUAUUGGACAAUGGGGGGAACCCUGAUCCAGCCAUGCCGCGUGUGUGAAGAAGGCCUUAUGGUUGUAAAGCACUUUAAGCGAGGAGGAGGCUCUUUUGGUUAAUACCCAAGAUGAGUGGACGUUACUCGCAGAAUAAGCACCGGCUAACUCUGUGCCAGCAGCCGCCGUAA